Molecule: ribosomal RNA, 254 nt
Filed under: uncultured bacterium
Lineage: Bacteria
Description: partial 16S ribosomal RNA
Rfam family: Bacterial small subunit ribosomal RNA
Source: RNAcentral
UACGUAGGUGGCAAGCGUUGUCCGGAUUUAUUGGGUUUAAAGGGUGCGUAGGUGGUCUAUUAAGUCAGUGCUGAAAUAUCCCGGCUUAACCGGGAGGGUGGCAUUGAUACUGAUGGACUUGAGUAAAGUUGAGGUUGGCGGAAUUGACGGUGUAGCGGUGAAAUGCUUAGAUAUCGUCAAGAACACCUAUUGCGAAGGCAGCUAACUAAGCUUUAACUGACACUGAGGCACGAAAGUGUGGGGAGUCAAACAGG